Molecule: ribosomal RNA, 453 nt
Filed under: uncultured bacterium
Lineage: Bacteria
Description: bacterial SSU rRNA
Rfam family: Bacterial small subunit ribosomal RNA
Source: RNAcentral
GACGUUCAAGACUGGAGAGCUAGAGGAAGGCAGAGGUAGAUGGAACUCCGGGAGUAGUGGUGAAAUGCGUAGAUAUCCGGAAGAACACCAGAGGCGAAAGCGAUCUACUGGGCCUUAGCAGACACUGAGACGCGAAAGCCAGGGUAGCAAACGGGAUUAGAGACCCCGGUAGUCCUGGCCGUAAACGAUGUAGACUAGGCGCUUGUCGGGCAAAACCGAUGAGUGUCGAAGCGAACGCGAUAAGUCUACCGCCUGGGGAGUACGGUCGCAAGAUUAAAACUCAAAGGAAUUGACGGGGGCCCGCACAAGCAGCGGAGCGUGUGGUUUAAUUCGAUGAUACACGAAGAACCUUACCAGGGUUUGACAUACAAGUGGUAGAGAAGCGAAAGUGGAACGACCCUUCGGGGAGCCUGAACAGGUGCUGCAUGGCUGGCGUCAGCUCGUGUCGUGAGA